AGAUGUGAGGUGAGCUGGCUGAUCUGGCUGGCUGGGGGGGAGGAGGGGGUCCCCAUCCUCCCUCACCACUCCAUGUGCACCUGUCCUGAAGCUGUGUGCUCAAAGAGGAUGACCUUCCCCCAAUAGAGGAGGGCUGGUCUUUGUUCAAGGGUAUAUGAGUAGCUGCACUUACAGAUGCUAGCCCCAUACUACUAUACCCAGCAAAAUUUCCAAUCACAAUAGAGGCAGAAAAUAAGAGAUUCAAAAAAAAAAUUCAGCUAUUU
This is an unclassified non-coding RNA of Cricetulus griseus (Chinese hamster), 263 nucleotides long. Its record names the gene 7SK. It matches the Rfam family "7SK RNA". From Rfam's summary of the family: 7SK was discovered as an abundant small nuclear RNA in the mid-70s but a possible function has only recently been suggested. Two independent studies have found that 7SK RNA binds the CDK9/cyclin T complex (known as elongation factor P-TEFb). The record is from Ensembl. NCBI's taxonomy places the organism in Eukaryota, Metazoa, Chordata, Mammalia, Rodentia, Cricetidae.